GUGGUAAGGGGUGAACAUCCUUGGGAAGCCACAGAGAGCAAGGCGCAGUUUUUCAUUGAUCACCACUUUCAAGAUGCUCCCAGAAUCGUGCUGUCUAGGAAGCCAUUUAAACUGGUGAGAAGCCAUCCUCUCUUGAAUGGGGGCUCCCACUGUACAUCUGGCACCCACUUCACAGAUUCUGGGGGAUGUCAACACCAGCACUGCUGAGCUGUGUGACCUUGAGCAAGACAGUUAGCCUCUCUGAACCUCAGUGUCCUUCUCUGUAGGCUGGAGAUUGAUAUACCUUCAUUAUCGGGGUAUGAGAGUGUUAUAAAUCCAUGAACUGGAAGAUGCUUUCUUAUAACUCAGAGAAAAGAGAUGAAAAUGAAUCAAAGAACAGGAAGGAGACAAGCUCAGGAGUGUGAAAACGGAUUAAUACGGAUUCCAUUAGCAGAAGCAGUUUUGGUGGGAAAAAGAUGAAGGGUGAAGAGGACUUUUACCUUAAAACAAUGAAGAGUCACCCUAAGAAGGAUGUGUGGAAGACUUGACUGGAGGAUCAAAAUGUGUCGGGGGAAGGUGUACAAGGAGGAGUAAGGACACAGAUGUCCUGACUUCACACAGUGGGGGAUUAGAAGCCACCAUCAAACACAGAUGAAACAGGAAUAAAAGUAGUAGUACAUUACUUAAGCUUUAAAAGGGUAAGACUCCUGGGAAUUUGGAAGCUGAGACUUGAGGAGCAGAGGCAUUUAGCUGUGUAAACACAGAGCUUCAGUGGCAGCACCCUAAAUGCUUAGCUGAUAGAUCCGGAAUUAAAUACAGACCUAGAAACUGGAGUUGGAAAACUUCCUGGCAGCACUCCUUCCCUGCCAUCCCGGUGAUCCCCUUCUGGAUGGAGGGUGUGGAGCUCAGCACAUUCACGUCUGCAGUUCUCAGAGAACCAAGUGUUAAGGAAUGUCAGGGAAGGAAGAAGGCAGCCAGCCAGGAAGGGGAGGUCCUGGCCUGAGCACGCCAGGCACAGAGGGAUAGAGGGUAGGGAGGAAACUGCACCUGUCUCCAACCCUCGACCCCAGCCCCGAAACACGACAUUGGCUGAAACAGAUUAAAAGCAUAAAAUGGCCCAAAGAAAUGGGAGAAGGUUGGCCUCUGGUCGGGCAAACAUGAGGGCAUGAAGAUAUAUAAUGUCCCACACGGGAGGAAACCCUUGCCGGGCCCCUCAGGAUUUAUAACAAGCUCACCUGAAGGAGAAACUUCAGGGGCACUUACACCAUCAGAUACCUAGAAAGGAGCUGUCAUUUCCUCACUGAAGAGUUUGCAAGCAGAUGGUAAAAGGGGUUUAAUUUGAAAACACUGAAACAUCGUGUUCGCUCAAAACCAUGACAAUUGCAGUUUUAUUGUCUCCACUCAGGAAAAUGUGUGUCUGGAUCAUCUUGUGGCCCGAAUGGGGAGAAAAGCAGCACAAGAAUGGAAUAGUACAGUGGCUACGAACACAGAAACCACACUCCAGGCCCAGUCCCCGGCAGUGGCCUCCAGGACCCACUCUGAGCUAGAUCACAUCAGUGAUGGGCUGGCCAAUCUUUAAGGAGAAUGACUCUACUCUUAGGAAGCCAGCAGGUUGGAGGAGGAAACACAUUCAAAUCCCGAGCACAAGGAGCUGGGAGAAGACCGGUUAUGGGAGCGGCAUUCCUGGAAGCUCUGAAGUCACAGCCCCACUGAUGAAAGGAUGUAAGAACCUAAGAGUGGAAACCUGCCCCUGGGAUUCAUAUGGUGUCCCCUCAGGACUCAAACCCUGGUCUGGUAUGCUCAGUAAAUGAAUGAAUAUACCCACUA
This 1806-nucleotide long non-coding RNA is filed under the name Homo sapiens (human). RNAcentral's name for it is "long intergenic non-protein coding RNA 1837". Lineage: Eukaryota; Metazoa; Chordata; Mammalia; Primates; Hominidae. The record is from RNAcentral.